This is a small nuclear RNA of Phodopus roborovskii (desert hamster), 107 nucleotides long. The record is from RefSeq and is a predicted model, not a curated record. NCBI's taxonomy places the organism in Eukaryota, Metazoa, Chordata, Mammalia, Rodentia, Cricetidae.
GUGCCCCACGCAGCAGUGCAUAUACUGAAACUGGAGCCAUACCGGAAGUACUGGCAUGGCCCCUGCACAAGGGUGACACACAAACUCAGGACGCAGCCCAUAUUUUU